CGGGGGGAGCAAGCGUUGUUCGGAUUUACUGGGCGUAAAGGGCGCGUAGGCGGCCAGCGCAAGUCAGUUGUGAAAUCUCCGGGCUUAACUCGGAAAGGUCAACUGAUACUGCGCGGCUAGAGUGCAGAAGGGGCAACUGGAAUUCUCGGUGUAGCGGUGAAAUGCGUAGAUAUCGAGAGGAACACCUGCGGCGAAGGCGGGUUGCUGGGCUGACACCGACGCUGAGGCGCGAAAGCCAGGGGAGCGAACGGGAUUAGAUACCCCGGUAGUCCUGGCCUUAAACGAUGGAUGCUUGGUGUCUGGAGUUUUAUAGUCUCCGGGUGCCGUAGCUAACGCGUUAAGCAUCCCGCCUGGGGAGUACGGUCGCAAGACUG
This 374-nucleotide ribosomal RNA is filed under the name uncultured organism. RNAcentral describes it as "bacterial SSU rRNA". It matches the Rfam family "Bacterial small subunit ribosomal RNA", at positions 526 to 896 of the family's 1533-position model. The record is from RNAcentral.